UGCCAGUCUGGUGCCCGCUGUAACAUUUAUUACCAAGAAGUAUUGUUACAACAGAUCUACCUAACACUAAUUUCCUUGUGUUUUGUGUUAAGUGUGAUAUGAUACUAUAAAGGUGUGGCUGAGAGUCUGAGUGUUCAGGGGUCUGAAGUGUGAACAACACAGUAAAAGUCCUGAAUGGUUGUUGGAAGCUCACUGUUAAGACUGAGUGUUUGAGCUCUGAAUAAUUGCCGAACACAGAAGCAAGUUUAACAGGUUUAUUGUUAAAUUGAGUGAUUGGAGGUAGGAAGCUGGAACCCAGGAGCAGCAGGUCUGGAUACAGAGAACAGGGGUUAAGUCGGUUCAGGGCUUGCUGCUGCUGCGAGGAUUAAUCGUGGUCCAAGACAAGGCUGGGGUCAAACACGGGUGGUCAGAGGCWGUUACCAGGUUAAUAGGGGCAGACUGAGUCGAGGAUCCAGGGAUGGGUUCCGAGGUCGAGUUCCAGGAAGUCCGAGAUGGCGAGGUUCCGUUCAGGGGCGAGACGUGAGGCGAAAAUCCAACAAACAGAACCAGUGUUGUUACCAGGUGAGCAGAUGACAGGCAGGAUCCGACAGGGGCUGAGGCAGGAGACGUGGGUCCAAGA
Austrofundulus limnaeus is the source of this 619-nucleotide long non-coding RNA. RefSeq lists it as uncharacterized. The transcript has 2 exons. The record is from RefSeq and is a predicted model, not a curated record. Lineage: Eukaryota; Metazoa; Chordata; Actinopteri; Cyprinodontiformes; Rivulidae.